GGAUGAUUUAUUGAUGUUUCCGCAAUGUACUAAUCUUCUAUACUUGGACUGUCAAGUUAAAGUAAAAUCCGAAGAUAGACUCACCAAUUUGAGAAUUUUGACAGAGGCGUCACCUUAUUUGUGAAAGUUUAAACUAGAGAUUAAAAAUUUCAAUCAAUACCGUAAAAAAGAGAGCAGAUUUGACAAGUUAUAUGAGGUGGAAAUGCAUCCGAAUAAGUACCUGAAGAAGGUGGAAAUAGUUGGAUUCUUGGGAGAAAUGGAGGAAGCUGAAUUUCUUACUUAUUUGGUUAAAAGUGCCAUUAAUCUUGAGAAGAUUAUACUUCAUAUCGAUGUCUUGAAUCUACAAAUAAUAUAUUCGGAGGAGUCUGCCGAUACUACGAAACAAAUGGCACAAAACUUGGCUCGUCAGCUCUUGAAAAAUCGCCCUGGAGCUGAAUUAGUUCUACUCUGACUUUGAUGUUGGUCGCCAUCAUAGGUGUUCUUUGUUUUUUUUUUUUUCUUGUUUCUUAAUUUUCAAUAAUUUUGUCUCAAAACACAUUUUCAUGUCUUUACGGUAUUCUUUUCUCUAUCAUUUGGUAUAUUUUAAGUUUUUUA
Hibiscus syriacus is the source of this 594-nucleotide long non-coding RNA. RefSeq lists it as uncharacterized. The transcript has 2 exons. The record is from RefSeq and is a predicted model, not a curated record. NCBI's taxonomy places the organism in Eukaryota, Viridiplantae, Streptophyta, Magnoliopsida, Malvales, Malvaceae.